AGUCCCGAGGUGUUUAACAUAUCAGAUUGCAAAUCUGAAGAAGCAGGCUAGCGUUUGCCGGGGCUU
RNAcentral lists this transfer RNA (66 nucleotides) under Chaetodontoplus conspicillatus (spectacled angelfish). RNAcentral's name for it is "tRNA-Cys". Lineage: Eukaryota; Metazoa; Chordata; Actinopteri; Pomacanthidae. The record is from RNAcentral.